This 484-nucleotide ribosomal RNA is filed under the name uncultured bacterium. Its description in RNAcentral is "partial 16S ribosomal RNA". It matches the Rfam family "Bacterial small subunit ribosomal RNA", at positions 30 to 507 of the family's 1533-position model. The record is from RNAcentral.
AUUGAACGCUGGCGGCAGGCCUAACACAUGCAAGUCGAGCGGAUGAAGGGAGCUUGCUCCUGGAUUCAGUGGCGGACGGGUGAGUAAUGCCUAGGAAUCUGCCUGGUAGUGGGGGAUAACGUCCGGAAACGGGCGCUAAUACCGCAUACGUCCUGAGGGAGAAAGUGGGGGAUCUUCGGACCUCACGCUCUCAGAUGAGCCUAGGUCGGAUUAGCUAGUUGGUGGGGUAAAGGCCUACCAAGGCGACGAUCCGUAACUGGUCUGAGAGGAUGAUCAGUCACACUGGAACUGAGACACGGUCCAGACUCCUACGGGAGGCAGCAGUGGGGAAUAUUGGACAAUGGGCGAAAGCCUGAUCCAGCCAUGCCGCGUGUGUGAAGAAGGUCUUCGGAUUGUAAAGCACUUUAAGUUGGGAGGAAGGGCAGUAAGUUAAUACCUUGCUGUUUUGACGUUACCAACAGAAUAAGCACCGGCUAACUUCGUG